UGGGGAAUUUUGGACAAUGGGCGCAAGCCUGAUCCAGCCAUGCCGCGUGCGGGAAGAAGGCCUUCGGGUUGUAAAACCGCUUUUGUCAGGGAAGAAAUCUUCUGAGUUAAUACCUCGGGAGGAUGACGGUACCUGAAGAAUAAGCACCGGCUAACUACGUGCCAGCAGCCGCGGUAAAUACGUAGGGUGCAAGCGUUAAUCGGAAUUACUGGGCGUAAAGCGUGCGCAGGCGGUUUUGUAAGACAGAGGUGAAAUCCCCGGGCUCAACCUGGGAACUGCCUUUGUGACUGCAAGGCUUGAGUGCGGCAGAGGGGGGAAUGGAAUUCCGCGUGUAGCAGUGAAAUGCGUAGAUAUGCGGAGGAACACCGAUGGCGAAGGCAAUCCCCUGGGCCUGCACUGACGCUCAUGCACGAAAGCGUGGGGAGCAAACAGGAUUAGAUACCCUGGUAGUCCACGCCCUAAAACGAUGUCAACUGGUUGUUGGGAAGGUUCCUUCUCAGUAACGUAGCUAACGCGUGAAGUUGACCGCCUGGGGAGUAC
RNAcentral lists this ribosomal RNA (540 nucleotides) under uncultured bacterium. RNAcentral describes it as "partial 16S ribosomal RNA". It matches the Rfam family "Bacterial small subunit ribosomal RNA", at positions 355 to 883 of the family's 1533-position model. The record is from RNAcentral.